UGCUCAAGCUAUGCCUGUUGUAGGACAC
RNAcentral lists this non-coding RNA (28 nucleotides) under Mus musculus (house mouse). Lineage: Eukaryota; Metazoa; Chordata; Mammalia; Rodentia; Muridae. The record is from RNAcentral.